AGAGUUUGAUCCUGGCUCAGGACGAACGCUGGCGGCGUGCUUAACACAUGCAAGUCGAACGGAAAGGCCCUUCGGGGUACUCGAGUGGCGAACGGGUGAGUAACACGUGGGUGAUCUGCCCUGCACUUUGGGAUAAGCCUGGGAAACUGGGUCUAAUACCGAAUAGGACCGCGCGCUUCAUGGUGUGUGGUGGAAAGCUUUUGCGGUGUGGGAUGGGCCCGCGGCCUAUCAGCUUGUUGGUGGGGUAAUGGCCUACCAAGGCGACGACGGGUAGCCGGCCUGAGAGGGUGACCGGCCACACUGGGACUGAGAUACGGCCCAGACUCCUACGGGAGGCAGCAGUGGGGAAUAUUGCACAAUGGGCGCAAGCCUGAUGCAGCGACGCCGCGUGAGGGAUGACGGCCUUCGGGUUGUAAACCUCUUUCACCAGGGACGAAGCGCAAGUGACGGUACCUGGAGAAGAAGCACCGGCCAACUACGUGCCAGCAGCCGCGGUAAUACGUAGGGUGCGAGCGUUGUCCGGAAUUACUGGGCGUAAAGAGCUCGUAGGUGGUUUGUCGCGUUGUUCGUGAAAACUCACAGCUUAACUGUGGGCGUGCGGGCGAUACGGGCAGACUAGAGUACUGCAGGGGAGACUGGAAUUCCUGGUGUAGCGGUGGAAUGCGCAGAUAUCAGGAGGAACACCGGUGGCGAAGGCGGGUCUCUGGGCAGUAACUGACGCUGAGGAGCGAAAGCGUGGGGAGCGAACAGGAUUAGAUACCCUGGUAGUCC
RNAcentral lists this ribosomal RNA (771 nucleotides) under uncultured bacterium. RNAcentral's name for it is "bacterial SSU rRNA". It matches the Rfam family "Bacterial small subunit ribosomal RNA", at positions 8 to 796 of the family's 1533-position model. The record is from RNAcentral.